CAUAUGUUGACUUGGUUAUCUAAAAGUGCACUUUUCUUUGUUUUAGCCUAGUCAAAAAGCCUGUGAAACACAGUAGACUUAAUAUCUAUUUAUUGUGAAAUUACUACAUUUCCGUAUCAAUCCAUGUUAAUUUUUACCGCGAACAAAGCGCUGUCACUUUAAUUCAGCGCAAGAAAAACAAUGUUGGACAGGCAAAUCACGUGGUCUCGCGAAUCCUACCGCUGCGCUUCUGAUCCGCUUCUGGUGUGAGUUGGCACAGCAUGGAGGAUGCAACAAAACCUCCUCGGAGCCGUAAUGCGCCGCAGACGCGUGCAGUGUAAAUCAGGGGUCAACGAUCGCUGCACUCACAUUAGUACAUAUACGUUAUCAUGUGUGUUCAGUUGUGGCUGACUUCUGUAAGCCAGACUCAGGUUGAGUCAUCGCCGUCAUUCCACGCGUAUUUGGGCCAGAAGAAUGUGGGAGAUGUGGGCCAGAACUGGGCCAGAUGUCAUUUGCCAUCUGGGUAUUAAUUGAUAACAGAAAUUAAUGAAAGAAAGAAAGAAUUCAGACAUAAAUGUAAAUGAAAUGAGAUGACAAUAUAUUAUUCUUAAGUAAAUUAAAAUGAUGGAAAAGGAUUAAAACCAAAAUAAUGUCAAACAAUAGUUGUCACUAAAGAUACUUAAAUUCAAAGUUGAAAUAUACAUUUUAGAAUCAGAAUCACAUAACCUUCAAGUCAGAAAUUCAGAUUUCAUACAUGUAAUAUCAAAAUCAGUUUUUACAAUUCAGUAUUUCAUGCAUACAAAAAAUGUGCACACUAUGCACAGCAUACAUACUGGAUACUGUAGAAAUAGUAUGAUAGUAUGGCAUUUUGAACACUUGAUUUGUCCUUAAUCCAGUUAGUUUUCGUCGUCUUAUAGCUUUCCAGUCUGUUUAAAUGCCUCUCUUUUUCACCAUCCAUUCCCUUAAAGUUUGAGCUUCUAAGGAUAUUUUCGCUUCAAUAAUCUAUUUUUUAGAUUAUUUACAUCAUCUAAUUCGACUCUUUAUUGAAUUGACAAAUUCAAUGUCUUGCAUUACUCUGCGUCUUGCUCGGUCACCCUCUGCUCUCUCGUUCUUUCGCGUUCUUCUCAUUAACUUUUCUUUGAGGCAGAGCUAACCUCCGACCUCAGCCAAUCAAAAUUACUUUGACCAUUUUUUUUCUUUUCUAAAUUUCAAUGUAUAAUUCAAUACAAAACAACUUUAAAAUCAACAUUCUCUUCCAAAUAAUACUAAAUAUAUAUAAACAAACAAACAAAAAAACGUUAUACAUUUUAGUGACCUAGUCAGUGACCUGGGUUAGACUCUCCCCUCCUGAAUGUAUGCAGGUCCCUCUGCAUCUGAGGUUGAACAGUCACAAUGGUAGGUGAACUCUUCCAGGUUCUCGUCCAGCAAAUUUGUAAAUAUUCAGGUCUGACAACAGAGACUGGAUCACCAUACUGCCAAGUCUUUUUGGAGGUUCAUGGGAUCUUUGACUGCAUCUUAGACUUCUUGCAGGUUGAGGUACUUCAUUCUGAUCCAUCAGAGGAUUUCUGGAAAUGGCAAUUUCUUCUUGUGAAGAAUCAUUAUUUCUUCCAUCUUCUCAAUUUGGGUUAUCUGCUGAUUUGUUAUUAUCUGUUGAUUCCGCUUCAUAUUUUCUUUCAAUUUCUCUUUCAGAUCCAUCUACCAGAUCUUCAACAACAGCUUCAACUUCCGAUUCUUUGGUGGAACGGUUUCUGGUUCUGGGUCUCCGAGAGACUUCUUUGGUCCAUCCUUUCCUUCAGUUUGACAGUAAAGACAGGUAAGUCACCAGCCUUCCUAGUUAUAUAUAUAUCAGGUACCCAUUUAUCUGCCAGCUUGUGCUUUCCCCUUAUACAGACAUUUCUCACAAGCACACAGUCACCCACAUUCAAAGCAGAGGCAACAACACGUUGAUCAUACCUCUUUUUGUUACGUGCUGCCACUAUAGAAGCAUUUCCAGUUGUGACCUUGUAGAUCUUUUCCAAUCGUUUUUUGAGGUUUUGCACAUAUUUUGAGUGGGAUUCAGGCAGACUGUUGACUGGUUGCCCGAAAGCCAAAUC
Molecule: long non-coding RNA, 2072 nt
Organism: Cyprinus carpio (common carp)
Lineage: Eukaryota; Metazoa; Chordata; Actinopteri; Cypriniformes; Cyprinidae
Source: RefSeq, a predicted model, not a curated record